GAUGAACGCUGGCGGCGUGCCUAAUACAUGCAAGUCGAGCGAACAGAUAAGGAGCUUGCUCCUUUGACGUUAGCGGCGGACGGGUGAGUAACACGUGGGUAACCUACCUAUAAGACUGGGAUAACUUCGGGAAACCGGAGCUAAUACCGGAUAACAUUUGGAACCGCAUGGUUCUAAAGUGAAAGAUGGUUUUGCUAUCACUUAUAGAUGGACCCGCGCCGUAUUAGCUAGUUGGUAAGGUAACGGCUUACCAAGGCGACGAUACGUAGCCGACCUGAGAGGGUGAUCGGCCACACUGGAACUGAGACACGGUCCAGACUCCUACGGGAGGCAGCAGUAGGGAAUCUUCCGCAAUGGGCGAAAGCCUGACGGAGCAACGCCGCGUGAGUGAUGAAGGGUUUCGGCUCGUAAAACUCUGUUAUUAGUGAAGAACAAAUGUGUAAGUAACUGUGCACGUCUUGACGGUACCUAAUCAGAAAGCCACGGCUAACUACGUG
Molecule: ribosomal RNA, 497 nt
Filed under: uncultured bacterium
Lineage: Bacteria
Description: partial 16S ribosomal RNA
Rfam family: Bacterial small subunit ribosomal RNA
Source: RNAcentral